This 1336-nucleotide ribosomal RNA is filed under the name uncultured bacterium. RNAcentral's name for it is "bacterial SSU rRNA". It matches the Rfam family "Bacterial small subunit ribosomal RNA", at positions 29 to 1381 of the family's 1533-position model. The record is from RNAcentral.
ACGAACGCUGGCGGCGUGCUUAACACAUGCAAGUCGAACGGAAAGGCCCUUCGGGGUACUCGAGUGGCGAACGGGUGAGUAACCCGUGGGUGAUCUGCCCUGCACUUUGGGAUAAGCCUGGGAAACUGGGUCUAAUACCGAAUAUGACCACGCUCUUCAUGGGGUGUGGUGGAAAGCUUUUGCGGUGUGGGAUGGGCCCGCGGCCUAUCAGCUUGUUGGUGGGGUAAUGGCCUACCAAGGCGACGACGGGUAGCCGGCCUGAGAGGGUGACCGGCCACACUGGGACUGAGAUACGGCCCAGACUCCUACGGGAGGCAGCAGUGGGGAAUAUUGCACAAUGGGCGCAAGCCUGAUGCAGCGACGCCGCGUGAGGGAUGACGGCCUUCGGGUUGUAAACCUCUUUCACCAGGGACGAAGCGCAAGUGACGGUACCUGGAGAAGAAGCACCGGCCAACUACGUGCCAGCAGCCGCGGUAAUACGUAGGGUGCGAGCGUUGUCCGGAAUUACUGGGCGUAAAGAGCUCGUAGGUGGUUUGUCGCGUUGUUCGUGAAAACUCACAGCUUAACUGUGGGCGUGCGGGCGAUACGGGCAGACUAGAGUACUGCAGGGGAGACUGGAAUUCCUGGUGUAGCGGUGGAAUGCGCAGAUAUCAGGAGGAACACCGGUGGCGAAGGCGGGUCUCUGGGCAGUAACUGACGCUGAGGAGCGAAAGCGUGGGGAGCGAACAGGAUUAGAUACCCUGGUAGUCCACGCCGUAAACGGUGGGUACUAGGUAUGGGUUCCUUCCUUGGGAUCCGUGCCGUAGCUAACGCAUUAAGUACCCUGCCUGGGGAGUGCGGCCGCAAGGCUAAAACUCAAAGGAAUUGACGGGGGCCCGCACAAGCGGCGGAGCAUGUGGAUUAAUUCGAUGCAACGCGAAGAACCUUACCUGGGUUUGACAUGCACAGGACGCUGGUAGAGAUAUCAGUUCCCUUGUGGCCUGUGUGCAGGUGGUGCAUGGCUGUCGUCAGCUCGUGUCGUGAGAUGUUGGGUUAAGUCCCGCAACGAGCGCAACCCCUAUCUUAUGUUGCCAGCGCGUUAUGGCGGGGACUCGUAAGAGACUGCCGGGGUCAACUCGGAGGAAGGUGGGGAGGACGUCAAGUCAUCAUGCCCCUUAUGUCCAGGGCUUCACACAUGCUACAAUGGCCGGUACAAAGGGCUGCGAAUCCGCGAGGUGGAGCGAAUCCCUUGAAAGCCGGUCUCAGUUCGGAUCGGGGUGUGCAACUCGACCCCGCGAAGUUGGAGUCGCUAAUAAUCGCAGAUCAGCAACGCUGCGGUGAAAAAGUUCCCGGGCCU